Molecule: ribosomal RNA, 217 nt
Filed under: Clostridioides difficile
Lineage: Bacteria; Bacillati; Bacillota; Clostridia; Peptostreptococcales; Peptostreptococcaceae
Description: partial 16S ribosomal RNA
Rfam family: Bacterial small subunit ribosomal RNA
Source: RNAcentral
CUGGAGUUACUAGUAAACGCAGAUGAGAAUGCUGCGGUGAAUGCGUUCCCGGGUCUUGUACACACCGCCCGUCACGCCACGGGAGUUGGAGACGCCCGAAGCCGAUUAUCUAACCUUUUGGAAGAAGGCGUCGAAGGUGGAAUCAAUAACUGGGGUGAAGUCGUAACAAGGUAGCCGUAUCGGAAGGUGCGGCUGGAUCACCUCCUUUCUAAGGAGA